Molecule: transfer RNA, 79 nt
Filed under: Escherichia phage JLBYU28
Lineage: Duplodnaviria; Heunggongvirae; Uroviricota; Caudoviricetes; Andersonviridae
Description: tRNA-Asn
Rfam family: tRNA
About the family: Transfer RNA (tRNA) molecules are approximately 80 nucleotides in length.
Source: RNAcentral
UGGUUAGGAAGCACAUAAGGUAUGUGCGGUCGCCUGUUAAGCGAAUGGCACAGGGUUCGAAUCCCUGACUAACCGCCAA